AGUGAACGCUGGCGGUAGGCCUAACACAUGCAAGUCGAACGGCAGCACAGUAAGAGCUUGCUCUUACGGGUGGCGAGUGGCGGACGGGUGAGGAAUACAUCGGAAUCUACUUUUUCGUGGGGGAUAACGUAGGGAAACUUACGCUAAUACCGCAUACGACCUACGGGUGAAAGCAGGGGAUCUUCGGACCUUGCGCGAUUGAAUGAGCCGAUGUCGGAUUAGCUAGUUGGCGGGGUAAAGGCCCACCAAGGCGACGAUCCGUAGCUGGUCUGAGAGGAUGAUCAGCCACACUGGAACUGAGACACGGUCCAGACUCCUACGGGAGGCAGCAGUGGGGAAUAUUGGACAAAGGGCGCAAGCCUGAUCCAGCCAUACCGCGUGGGUCAAGAAGGCCUUCGGGUUGUAAAGCCCUUUUGUUGGGAAAGAAAAGCAGCAGGUUAAUACCCCGCUGUUCUGACGGUACCCAAAGAAUAAGCACCGGCUAACUUCGUG
Molecule: ribosomal RNA, 492 nt
Filed under: uncultured bacterium
Lineage: Bacteria
Description: partial 16S ribosomal RNA
Rfam family: Bacterial small subunit ribosomal RNA
Source: RNAcentral